GUGUACUUGCGGGAAAUUUUUGUAACUUGAAGCAAGUCAAUCGUCUAAAAACUUUUUCUUUUUCUUUUUCUAAAAAAACUGUUUUCAUAAUUAAAACAUCAAAACUUAAUCUGGAAAGGUCUGUGUCAGUGAAGGUAGCAACGAUAGCAAGACAACUGUGGAUUGAGAGGGAUACAACUACCUGAAAAAUACAAGCAGAACUUCGAUCUUGUAUCCUUUUGUAUCCCUCUCACUCCACAGCUUUCUCAUUAAAACUUAUUAAGCCUGUUCUUCACUUCACCAUAUCGUAACGUACUGUAGAGAAUUUUCUUUUCUGUUGAACUCAUUAGUUACUCAGAAUAACAAAAAUAUACAGCUACCUUUCGGUACGAUAUACGGUUAAAGUGAAAAACAUGUUUUAGUUUUAAUAUAUUGAAAGAGACAUUUUAACACGACUCAGUUGGAUGCGCAGUAUAGUUACGGCAAACUGGCUUAUUGGAAUUUAGUAAAAAAAACAUUGUUAUAACUUGUUGCUUUGCCAGUAUGGGCAAAAGUCUAUUGAGAAGUUUGAUGAAGCUUUAAAGACUUGGAUAAACAUAUAGAUUUGACCUAAAAACAUUUUACUGUAAAACCACGAGAAAUAUUAUGACCAUCUCAAAAGACUGUGAGUGAUUUACUUGGACAAAGGCUGCAGUGUUGUCAUCGUUGAAUGUAUGUCGGAUUUUACGAACAGUUACAGUUGCUGUACAUGUUACCAUUUCAUCACACAUGAAAAUAAUACGUGGUAUAUAUUUUUUGGUGAUUCAGCUGGAUUUGAACAUUUCGGAUCAAGAUGUAACUGAUAUAAGGAAAUAAUGGUAAUGGUGUCUUCCACAGGCUAGUUGCAGUUCGUUUACGUUGAAAUAUCGAUUAUUAGUGUGAAAUAUACCAAAAAUGUACAUGGUUACUUGAAUAGAUCGUACUGUAAAGUCAAAAGAAAUUGAUGAGCACGUCGAAAGAUCGUGAGUUGUAUAACAAAAAUCGUGUAGUGUUUAUAUCGUUGAAAAUCUACGCCUUCAGGAACAGUUCCUGUAUCGUGCCAUUAUACAACUGUUGAAUGACUAAAAAACUAAAGGAUUUCAAACUCCUGAUCACAGUGUGACUGAUAUACGGGGAAUAAUGCCAAAGAAAUUUGCGACAAGCUAGUUUCAGUUGGUAUAUUUGGAAAAAUCGAUGAUUUGUGAAAGACAAACAAUAUACAGCAUAACUUGAAAACAUUGUAUUGGAAAACUAAAAGUAAUGUCAUUAAUACUACCUGGACAGACCGUGAGACGUUGACGUGGAAAAAAGUUGUGCAGUGUUUUCAUUGUUGAAAAUAUACAUGUUUUACGAACAGUGCUUGUAUCCCAAGCUGGGAUGUACCACUUGUGAUGUUUACAGCAUAAUGCGUGAAAUCAUGCAGUAUUUGUUGAACAUAUAUGCAUGUGGAUUUUAUGAUCCUGAUCACAAUGUGCCGUAUGUAUGAGGAAUGGUAAUGUUUACUUUCAACAAGCUAUGGUACAGUAGUUGGUAUACGCUGACAGUCAGGCUGAUUUUUUGAACACAAGCAAUGCACAAUAUAUUUAUUAUUAAAGUGAAGUGAUUCUUAUAGAAGAAUUAAAAACAAUACGGUGUUGACGAAUGGUAGUAAUGAAAAUGAUAAAUAGUCGGUUGUCCAACAACUAGAAACUAAAUUUCGGAAUUAUGGUGAAAAUGUGCAACGAUUUGAAGCAACAUAUUCGUACUGAAAAACAGAAUUGAGAACAUCCAAAGAACCAGUUGAAUCACGUAUUAAGCUCGGUAAAUUACCUUUCAAGAAAAAGCUUUAAUUAUUCGUGAUCUUACUUACCAUUAUGCGUGAUCUUACUUACCAUGUUCUGGAUUUGUUUGGUCUUACUUGGUAAUCAUGAGACUAAGGAUCUAGUCUUCCUUUAUAUAAAGCAGUGAACGGUAUUGAUCAUGUGGUCAAAACGUGGAACAUUACGCUUGCUAUUAAGUCGUACUGCAUGGUACUUUGUCUGCCCGUGAAUUGACAAAACGAACGUGUUGGAGAACAAAGAAAACUGAACAAUUAUUUACCUUUAGAUACUUUGAAUUAGUUCUAGUAUAAUUAUAUUGUUUGUACCUUAAAAUAGUUAUUGUUGUAAAGUUUCUUUAGGAAUGAAUAAUAUAG
This 2170-nucleotide long non-coding RNA is filed under the name Paramuricea clavata. Lineage: Eukaryota; Metazoa; Cnidaria; Anthozoa; Malacalcyonacea; Plexauridae. The record is from RNAcentral.